Molecule: ribosomal RNA, 468 nt
Filed under: uncultured bacterium
Lineage: Bacteria
Description: partial 16S ribosomal RNA
Rfam family: Bacterial small subunit ribosomal RNA
Source: RNAcentral
GACGAACGCUGGCGGCGUGCUUAACACAUGCAAGUCGAACGGAAAGGCCCUGCUUUUGUGGGGUGCUCGAGUGGCGAACGGGUGAGUAACACGUGAGUAACCUGCCCUUGACUUUGGGAUAACUUCAGGAAACUGGGGCUAAUACCGGAUAGGAGCUCCUGCUGCAUGGUGGGGGUUGGAAAGUUUCGGCGGUUGGGGAUGGACUCGCGGCUUAUCAGCUUGUUGGUGGGGUAGUGGCUUACCAAGGCUUUGACGGGUAGCCGGCCUGAGAGGGUGACCGGCCACAUUGGGACUGAGAUACGGCCCAGACUCCUACGGGAGGCAGCAGUGGGGAAUAUUGCACAAUGGGCGGAAGCCUGAUGCAGCAACGCCGUGUGCGGGAUGACGGCCUUCGGGUUGUAAACCGCUUUCGCCUGUGACGAAGCGUGAGUGACGGUAAUGAGUAAAGAAGCACCGGCUAACUACGUG